This 1817-nucleotide long non-coding RNA is filed under the name Homo sapiens (human). RNAcentral's name for it is "long intergenic non-protein coding RNA 1484". The record is from RNAcentral. Lineage: Eukaryota; Metazoa; Chordata; Mammalia; Primates; Hominidae.
AGGCAUUUGCUUCAGGUGAGCAGAGGGAUGACUUUCUGUCCCACAUCUGUGAAGAUCAGCUGUUGGUUUACAUUGCCAGGGUGAAAUUCAACAGAACUAAUUUAGGGUGAAGAUCUUGAGGCCCACAAGGAAUUUCCUUGUGGGAAAAUUGUGAGGAAGAGCAAUCACUGCACCCAGCCACCUCUAUAUACAUGUACACAAAGCCACACAGUUUACACAGUCACAGGUAUUUAAGUACACACUAUUCACACACAAAUACAUAUAUAGACACACAUGUACAGUCCGUCCAAAAUAUAUGUACAUAAAAGCACACUAUUACACCUUCAUAUGUGCACACACACACACACCCAGACUCACUUCAUACACACAUAGAUACAACAGCCACAGCUCCCCAUCACCUACACACACACACACACACCUGGACACCCAGCUCUAAUAUAAUCAGAUAGAGAUAUGCAUGCAGACAAAUUUGCCUGUAUAGUCAAACACAUAGGCAAAUAGAGAACGAGACACCACAUGAACAAAGGCAAACCUACACACAAAGACACAGAGCACACUUACGCAUAUAUCUAUAGACCCACCAUGGCACAUAUGGGUAAGUGCACACAGGCAAACUCACACACACGAGCAUGCACAGGCAGAGAACACAAAUGUACACUCCCAGGUGUCAUAAAGAACAGCCCAGCUUCGGCUUGGGAACGUCACAUCAGACAAUAGGAACGGCUGCACCGCGCGUUUCCUCGGCUGCCAGCUUCCCAGCCACAGAGGAUGCCUCACCUGCUAUGUCAGCUCCCCUCUGCCCCACCUCACAAGAAGCUCAGAAGCUGAGGAGUCACAGAGAGACCUCCCUACUGUGUCAGAGGUACAGCUUGAGCAAAGACACAGAAGCAGAAGGCAGGUUUUUGGUUCCAUGAACUCUACAUCUGGCUACAUACAAAUGGUGAAGAGGAACAGGGAGAAACAUGGUUGAAAAGAACAGGCUUGGACUUCAGGAAGCAGUAAAAUGAGCGAAUGCCAUUUAUGGUUACAAAGAUAACUCAGCUGGGGGCCAAACAGAGACUGAAAUGGAGUGGGUGAGGAUGGAGGCCGGGAGGAGAUGGCUGCAGAGGUCCCAGCAAUGACAGUGGUUGUGGGAAGGGGCAACCCCAAGUCUUGUGCUCCCAACUGCAAAUCCAGUGCUUUUUCUAAAAAAAUAUUUAAAUAAUUUAUUUAUUUUUGAGAUGGAGUCUCGCUCUGUCACCCAGGCUGGAGUGCAGUGACACAAUGUCGGCUCGUGCAACCUCUGCCCCCCGGGUUCAAGCGAUUCUCCUGCCUCAGCCUCCCAAGUAGCUGGGAUUACAGACGCACGCCUCCACGCCUGGCUAAUUUUUUAUAUUUUUGGUAGAGAUGGGGUUUCACCAUGUUGCCCAGGCUGGUCUCGAACUCCUGACUUCAAGUGAUCCACCCACCUCGGCCUCCCAAAGUACUAGGAUGACAGGCGUGAGCCACUGUGCCCAGCCUUAUUUUUUUUUUUAAUUUAUAUUUUCAGAGGCAAACGAUCCUUGCUCAUUAAAAAAAGGAAAUAGAAAUUCAAAACAAAAAUGCCUGUAUCUGAUGGGAAAGAUGAGCCCAAUGUUCUUUUUUAAAAAACCUUUAUUAUGAAAUAUUUCAACUGAACAUAUGCAGUUUAUAUUGUUAUAAAGCAUAACAAGCAAUCAAACAGCUGUGAACCCACCACUCCAUGUCAGAACUAGAACUUCCCAAAGCAGUCGGAGCUGAGGUGAGAUCCACUCUGAUGCCCUUCCCCAACUCCACGCCACCCCCCAAGACCUGACCAC